CGCCCAGACUCCUAGGGAGGCAGCAGUGGGGGAUAUUGCACAAUGGAGGGAACUCUGAUGCAGCGACGCCGCGUGAGGGAAGAAGGUUUUCGGAUUGUAAACCUCUGUCUUCGGUGACGAAACGAGACGGUAGCCGAGGAGGAAGCCACGGCUAACUACGUGCCAGCAGCCGCGGUAAUACGUAGGAUCCGAGCAUUAUCCGGAGUGACUGGGUGUAAAGAGUUGCGUAGGUGGCAUAAUAAGUAGCUAGUGAAAUCUGGUGGCUCAACCAUUCAGACUAUUAGCUAAACUGUUAAGCUCGAGACCGUUAGGGGUAACUGGAAUUUCUAGUGUAGGAGUGAAAUCCGUAGAUAUUAGAAGGAACACCAAUAGCGUAGGCAGGUUGCUGGGACGGUUCUGACACUAAGGCACGAAAGCGUAGGGAGCAAACGGGAUUAGAUACCCCAGUAAAC
Molecule: ribosomal RNA, 452 nt
Filed under: uncultured bacterium
Lineage: Bacteria
Description: bacterial SSU rRNA
Rfam family: Bacterial small subunit ribosomal RNA
Source: RNAcentral